Non-coding RNA from Lonchura striata (white-rumped munia), 1361 nucleotides. The record is from RefSeq and is a predicted model, not a curated record. Lineage: Eukaryota; Metazoa; Chordata; Aves; Passeriformes; Estrildidae.
AGAAGUGAAGCCAUGAAGAAAAGCAAAUGCUCUGCUCAGACUCCACUCAAACUCAAGUUUAAGAAGGAUGUGCUGCCGUUUCAGAGCCAUUCUGCAAACACAUCUCCUGAAAAGCAGCAGGGUUCACUGCUGGUUGCUGUAGUAAGAGUCUGACGAGCUGGCAUGUUUUUAAGACACAGGACAAAAUUCAAAGUGGUUGCUGCUUGGUAAAAGAUGCUCAGAUGUUGAGAAAAGCAAGUCAUUCUGGAAUACCAGCACCAGGGAAGCUGGAAGUCAAACUCUUCAUUACUCUAAUCCCAAAAGCUUUCUUGGAAAUAUGAUUCUCAAUUUUCCAUCUUCCCCUGGUUUUCAUUCUUUCAAAUAUUUGAAUGCACCGUUUAAUUUACAGUCAGAAAUGACACCCCCUUUGCUUUCUGCCUUCCCCUGGACCAGCAUAAUUUUCCAUUUACUUUGAAAAAAUCAAAGCGUUCUCAAGUUGCAGCUCUUGACAGGCAGCAGUGCUGCAUCUCUCUGUCCCUGCAUGUGCACACAGCAAGAGCAGCAGCAGCUGCCACUGGUACCCAGACCUCCUCCCCUCAGACUGACAACCUGUCUUAAUGUUGAAAAACAGUUCAAGGUAGCACUUGAGACCAAACAUGCCAUUUUUCUUGUCAAAAUGAAAGCUGUAAAUUUUAAGCCUAAUGCUUAAUGUAUCCAGAUAUUGAACAGAGGGACUUUUAUCCUCAGCUUAAUGGUCUGUCUAAAAUCAUCAAAAAAGAUUACUUAAAAAUUCAAGGUCCUCAGAGGUCCCAUAAAAAUUGCGUGAACCAUUUUUUUCAGAGCUUUUGGGGAGGCUAGGGGAUCCUUUCAUAUAUUUUUCUUUCGCUUUGCUUUUUUUUCAAAUGCAAGGAGAGAGCAUGUACAGAAAGAUUUGUACCUCCUUUUUUCCCUGAGCUUGAAAGACUCACAGAUAACUGUGACAACAUUUAGGGGAGCCAGAGCUCGGGCUGCAGUGAAUUAGCCCGGCUCCAGCAGUUUGCAAGGAACAAGGACGAUGCACGCCAGCAGCCGCUGCUGCCCUGGCUGUUCCUUUCCAAAGCUGCCCUCUGAAAUGAAAUCCAGCACUUCCAAGCACUCCUCAGAGACACGGGCUCCAGAAAUCAUUCUCACUCAACCUGCCUGUUUGGAGUUGAUUUGUUCUGCUAAUGUCGGGUGGGAAAUAUAUUCUCAUAGUGCCAGAUCUCCCAUGCUGGGAAAUCAAAUAAUUUCAGGAGAAGGUGCUCAGAAAUCCUGGGGCUGGCCCCAGCCACGUGCUAUUCAAGAGGAGGCAUCAAAUUGCUCCUGCAUUACCUGUAACCCUCCCUCUCUGUUCAGUGGAGUAU